RNAcentral lists this long non-coding RNA (2834 nucleotides) under Mus musculus (house mouse). RNAcentral describes it as "long non-coding RNA chr16:37791708-37794542". Lineage: Eukaryota; Metazoa; Chordata; Mammalia; Rodentia; Muridae. The record is from RNAcentral.
UUUUUUUUUUUUUUUUUUUUUUUUUUUUGGUUUUUCGAGACAGGGUUUCUCUGUGUAGCCCUGGCUGUCCUGGAACUCACUUUGUAGACCAGGCUGGCCUCAAACUCAGAAAUCUGCCUGCCUCUGCCUCCCAAGUGCUGGGAUUACAGGUGUGCGCCACCACGCCCAGCAUCUGUGUGCACUCUUAACUAAGCCUUUUCUCCAGCACCUUACUUCUUAAUAAAAUUUCCUCAUUUUUAAGAGUCCAUAUUACUUUCUCCUAGAAAUACAACCAGAAAGAAAAAGUCUGUUUAUUUUCUACUAAAGACAUGUGUGAUUUGAUCUGUAUGAGAUACAGAACUGUUUGGUUAUGCGUUUGAUAUUUUAGGCAUUUUUUUAAUCCCCCUAAAAUCCUCAGUGGUGAUAGAGAAUCCUGUAAGAACAGCUAAUGUUGGAGGAUUUCGGACUGAUUCGGUCAUUUUAUAGCUUAGGACACUGCAUUUUCCUCCGAACCCCUUUACAUGUAUCAAACAGAAGGCUCCUCAUGUCUGGCUUAAGUUGUUCCACUAAAUGGUGGUUUAACUGGCAGCCUGCUCUCCACACAGGCUGAUUCUCUGGUUGGCUGGGCUGUUUUUUUUUCAGGUGAUGUCAUUUUUCUUAAUGUAAGUGGCAUUGUCAUUUAGGGUUCGUGCUUACUCACGUUAUAGUGGCCUAGGAUCUAAAGACCUCAUUACCAGGCGGAAUUUUAGGAUUUUGAAUUAUAGGAAAUGUCUUCUUUCUGUUGGGGUAUGGGGCGGGGCUUGCUUUCUGUGUUGGCUGGCCUGUUGGCUAUGUGCCUGUGUGUGAGAGAGUAUGUGAGUAUGUGUGUGUAGUGUGUGUGUGUGAGUGUGUGUGGUAUGAGUUUGUAGUGUGUGUGUGAAUGUGUAUAUGCAUAUAUGUAGCAUGAGUGCAUUUGUGUAUGUAGUGUGAGUGUUUAUGUUUGUAGUGUAUGUGUGGCUGCACAUGCACACACAUGAGUGAGUAUGUAGUAUGAGUGUGUUUGACUCCUAGGUAACUGGAUACUAUUGUAGGCUCUAGGCUACCAAUCUGUGACCACAGAUGUAACAGUAGCCAUAUUCAGAAAGCUAUGACAUUCCCUUUAAGGAGAAACAAAGAUUAAUGAUUUCUAAGGCUGAGAGUAUUCAAAGCAUGAACUAACUAUUCCAGGGUGAUUCUCAUCCUAGAAAUGUAUAUAUUCAAUCUAUAGCCCAGGCUGGCCUCAAACUCAUGGUCAACCCUUCAGCCUCAGCUUUCAAAUGCUGGGAUUGUGUGUGAGCCCAGUUGUCAGGAAUAUUUCAAGGCUAGUGUUCCAGGUGCUAAUCUGGACAACUUUCUGCAAGCAGAAUCUAUCUCCUUCCAGCCCUGGGUCUCAGUGUACCCAUUUCCUGGGGUUAAGAUAGGACCUAUCUGGAGCCUUGGGCUAGUCCAAGGGAAGAGUCUUCUGGGAGUGGCUUGGGUCUAUGCAUCAGCAUGGUUCUCUCCAUAACUACCUCUGGAUAUUUGGGGUAUCAAACAAAAGUAUUCAAGAAUUUUCUCAGAAUUAAGACAGGCGCUCUAGGGGACCUGACUUCACGACGUAGACCAGGAUAAUCUAAACCCCACCCAAGUGCUGGGGUGAAAGGUAUAUGCUACCACAUCUCUGGUGUUUAACAUUCCCUACCCAUUCUCCAGGCUCUUAGCAAAUUCUACUACGGGCUCUGCUGUCAGAGUAUAUCACCUGUGGUGACUCUUCUCCGUCACCAUGGUCACCACGCCAGUCCCAGCCACCAUCAUACCAUGUCUGCAUUACUACAGGAGCAGCCUAAGAUGUACUGUUUGUCCAUUCAGCAGCCCUAAGCUCUGUCCACACACGUCACUCUCUGUGCAGUGUCCUCCACUGUCCUUUACUACGCUAUCUUCUCAGUGGCUCUGGGCCCUUGCCCCCAGUUCUUCCAGUUGUGCCCUCUACCACGGUCACAUUGGCCUUUUCCCCCUAUUCUGGGAACAUGGCAAAUCCCAUCCUGCUUUGCACUUUCCUUCCCUUUGAGUGAACUAACUGUCCAGGCUUCCAUUUUCAACUCAACUGUACCCACUAAGGAUCCCUUCUCUCUCAGCUUUCCGUAACCCAUACCUGCCUCCCGCCAGCUCCUGGGUGAGAAAUGGACUUGCUUUUGUUUUCUAGCAAUCCUUCUCGAAUGGCAUACUCCUUAAAAAGACGGGACCUUUGUUCACGCACCAACGGUUUCCCAGCUCCCAGAACUGUGUCUAUUAGAUAAUGCGUGCUUAGUAAGUGCUUGUUGAAUUACCCACGGGCUGAACCGUAACUGAGGCGGCGGUCCUACAUAAUGUGCUGCCCUGCCUUUGGUUGUGUCGCAGCAUCAUCACCAUCUCUGCCAGAGUCUGCGGAUGUUUCCUGUGCCAAGGACUUUGGUUGAUAACACCUGCCCGUCCACACUUCGUUUAGCCUGGAAAGUCCUAGCGGUGAAAGUCCUAGCAGUGAAAAUGACUUUGUUCAGACACCUGGAUUCUGAUCCUUUCAGGCCCUAAAGAAGUUGAAAUUUUUAGCAGAGGCUAUCUGAGUCUUAAACAUUUUUGGUCUUUAACUUCCAUGCUCAGCAAUUCUGCUAUAAGCGGGCACCAUUCCCAGACGAAGUGAAUACCCCUGGAACUGUAGAAUCAAGCAUUACAUUUUUGUUGGCGAUUCUUUUCCCAUAGCCCACAUAUUUCUUUCGGUCCUAACUUUGCCAUGUACCGAGACCCUGACUUCGGAGAAUCCUUCCUCUGCCUGUGUUCAUGUGUCACCGCAACUGUAGGGCGAUGUCUCCAAACAAAGAAGC